Molecule: ribosomal RNA, 253 nt
Filed under: uncultured bacterium
Lineage: Bacteria
Description: partial 16S ribosomal RNA
Rfam family: Bacterial small subunit ribosomal RNA
Source: RNAcentral
UACAGAGGGGGCAAGCGUUGUUCGGAAUUACUGGGCGUAAAGGGCGCGUAGGCGGCCUUCUAAGUCGAACGUGAAAUCCCCGGGCUCAACCCGGGAACUGCGUCCGAUACUGGAAGGCUUGAAUCCGGGAGAGGGAUGCGGAAUUCCAGGUGUAGCGGUGAAAUGCGUAGAUAUCGGGAGGAACACCGAUGGCGAAGGCAGCACUCUGGGCCGGCACUGACGCUGAGGAGCGAAAGCGUGGGGAGCGAACAGG